This is a long non-coding RNA of Branchiostoma belcheri (Belcher's lancelet), 2524 nucleotides long. RefSeq lists it as uncharacterized. The record is from RefSeq and is a predicted model, not a curated record. The transcript has 4 exons. Lineage: Eukaryota; Metazoa; Chordata; Leptocardii; Amphioxiformes; Branchiostomatidae.
CUCCGGCCUCCUGUCCUCUUGUCCAGGACAAGUGAUUCAGAGAAGAGUGAAGAGCUUCUUGUCAAGAAGUUCCUGUACAGAUACAUGUUCUAGAUACAUGUAGUUUUGGUUGUCAAGUUGAUUCUCUAAAAGUAUGAAGAAAUCAUGUAAAGAUGGCUACAAUUAAGUUCAAUCUCUGCCUAGAUUCCGUGCUUGACAUGUAGAUUUGUGAAUCUGGUAACAUGUUUUAAGAGGAUUGUACAAAUUUAUGUACAGGAUGGCUUCAAGUGCCUGGAACAAGAUGAAGUUCUUAUGAUGUAUUGAUGUAUAGAAUGCUUGUAAAUGAUGUACUAUAUAGAAGCUGUGUGUUAGUAUUUUUUCUACUGUUAGUUUAUGUUUGAUAUAUUCCCUGUGUGUGUAUAUGUCAGAAUGGACCACAGGAAGAAUAGCUAUAGUUCGUACACUAAUUGUGGAUGACCUAAUAAAGUCAAGGAGGGGGUGAUAUUCUUUGAAUUUUUACUGCUUUUUCUUACACCUUCUCUUGUCUUGUUGCAGGCAGCUGUCCCGCAUAGCUUCAUUGCCGACUACGGCCUCCUGUCCAGGCAUGAGCAGAGUUUAUUCCUGGGCAGCUAAGUUAUGUACUGAUUAUAUCUUCUUGUGAUGUUUGCUUGUCAAAGUUGAUUGUUGGCCAAAAGUCUGUUGUUUAAGAUACUUUUAUACUGUCAGCAUCUUACCUUCCAUUUAAUGCUCUUGUGUGUAGAUAUGUGAACCUGCUUAAAGCAACAUACAAUUAGUAAUGUUGUUUUUUUUAUAUUUUUCUCCAAUAACUGUUCGUCAGUAAGAACAUUUUGUAGGAAACAUUGUGUUUUUUACAAUUUUAGCAGACUGGUAAGAUGUCCAGUUCUUUCAUGCAGAAUUCACAGUCUGUAUCUGAACUAACGAACAAAUCUUGGCAUUGCACCCUCGUUCCUCCCCUAACAUAUAUUCUACAUGAAAGAACAGACUUACACAUGGUGAAAUGUAUUAAAUUUUGAAUAAUACUGGCUUUGUUUGGAUGAUCAGUUUCAAUGCGGGUAUUUUUUUGUUUUGGAUAGAUAGGAAAAAGUGUUCAUGUAAGGAUUACAUUAUCUGAUUGUUGUUCUUCAAAGUUGAUCGCAGUUAGCCGUAAUGCUUGUUUGGUAGUUGAUUGUGGUGUACUGUGGCACUAAAUUGCUAAUGGCUUGUGCAAAAGAGUGGAAGAUUGAUUUUCGUUGAAAUUUUUUCACAAUGACAGAAUAAGAAGUCCAAAUUGCAUGCCGUGUUUGUGCCUGGUAGACAUUUUUCUCUUGAUGCCAUUCCUUAUAUCUGAUGUCUUUUUGUUGCAGACAAUUGACUCCAGCCUGCUGUCCAGACCAGGUGAUGCGGAGAAGAGUGGAGAGUUUGUUGCAAGGAAGAUUCAUUGAGUUUAAAGGGCAGCUGUCCAACAUGGCAUUGCAACUGACUCCAGCCUCCUGUCCAGACAUGAGCAGAUGAGAGUUUAUUCCUGGGCAGCUAAACAGCUGUUGAACAUGGCAUAGCUGCGUGUUCUGACUCCAGCCUCCUGUCCAGACCAGGUGAUGCGCAGAAGACAUUCAUUGAGUUUAAAAGGCACAGUGAAGAUCGGAGGCACUCCUGGACUGGCAGGAUUGACUGCAGAAGUCAGCGACAAACAACAGGAAGCUUGUAUUUAAAAUAAUGGCGUAGACACUGACAGGGUAUAUUGAGUUGAAAGUAGGAAUAGUCUGACUUAAUGUUGACUUUGUGAAGGUUUUGUUUAUGGGAAAUUUUGUUGUAAUGUUGGAUGAUUGUUAAACCGAUAGUCACUGUUUCUCGUAUACCUCAUAAUGUUUGUAUGACACCUAAAUGAUUAGUAUUUGAUUAGUAUAUUGCUCGCAUGGUUGUGUGAAAAAUUAUACUGACAGUCUGUAUAACCAUUGUAUCAUUUUGUGACAUGUCAUUGCGCUUGUUUUUUGUAGACAAUUGAUAGUAUUGACUAUUGUGUAACUGGAUGUAUUACUGUUCUAUACUGAUGUAGAUAUUGCACGCUGAAACUGUAUGUAUCUGAUGUAUUGUAUUGCUCAUGUUUUAUGAAUGCAUCUGAAGUGAAGAAAAAGAAAGAAAAGUCAAUAGACUAGGCUGGUACAGAAUAAGUUAUCUGUUCACAGGAGUAGGUAUAAGUGAAGAAGCCAUUUUGUCCUGUUAUAUGAAAGUACAUUUUCAAAAAAGGAAGUUGAAAGAAGAAUUUUGGACAUUCCUGUGAACACUACUUAGUACCAGCGUAGUUCAUGUUGAAGUUUGUGUGUGUUUCUUUAUUCAACUUCUCUAAACUUUAGAGUCAAUUUCACAUUCCUAUGUCCUAAGGGAUUUUGAAUGUUGAGAAGUUUAUCCGGCUAUUGAAAAGUUGACUAGUUUUGUGGAAUUGACUUUUAUUUGAAGUCUUUACUUUCUAUUUACUGCCUCUUAUUUCUCAGUGUGCACUUAGAGUUAGAAUGAAAGCAUAAAUGGACUAGGCUGGUACAACGUUGCU